AGAAAUGUAAUUUAAUCAAAAUAUUAGGCUUCAAACUUAAAUAUGGGCUGGUAAGCUCCAUUUCUG
RNAcentral lists this transfer RNA (66 nucleotides) under Brachidontes exustus (scorched mussel). Its description in RNAcentral is "tRNA-Trp". The record is from RNAcentral. Lineage: Eukaryota; Metazoa; Mollusca; Bivalvia; Mytilida; Mytilidae.